CGAAUUAGAUAUAUGUUCCUAUAAGUAUUGGUUUUUGUGAUUUGCUUCUUUGUUGGAUAUUGUAUUUUAAUAUUUGAUUUGUUUCGUAGAGUUACAGAUAUCCAGAUUUUUUGGUUUAAAUCAAAACGGAAAACGAAUCGAAUCAAAAUUUAUGAAUAUUUUGUUCAACUUUAUCUGUAAACAAUAAAAAUAAUAUAUAUAUAGUUUGGCUUUUGAUUCGUUAUCUAGUUUUAUUCGAACUGAAAAAUCCAGGGUUUUAUUAGAACUAUGUAUGUGAGUUUUAUAUUAAGAAAACACAAAAUACAUAGUGUAAACACAUUUAUGGAUAUAGUGUGAACGCGUUAACAUAUUUAUUAUCAAAUCAUUGUGAGACUGGCACGUGUCUAUUAUAGUGUGGAUGCAUUUAUUACAAUGCUUCUCUUUUAAUAUAUAAGGGAUAAGAUGGAAGAAAAAGUACUAUAAAUUUGCUAAUAAAACUGUAGGAACAAGUCAUGCAAUUAGUCGAGUGAUACUGUCAAAUAUACAGUUUAAGAGUUAUAUGAUUGUUUUUAUAUAUGGCAUUUGUUUCUCUCAGAUUAAGCUCAUUUUCUUGGAGUUUUCUUCUUCCUAUUUUACUAUUGGCUUAUUUUUAUUUAAAUCAUAAAAUGUAAAGGAGAUUAGUUACAGCUAUUUUCUUCAUGUUGGUGAAAAUGACGUGAAAACAGUAACAUUUUUUUUUCCUUUCACCAUAGUGCUUUCCACUUCUUAAUGCACCAAUUACGGCAGGGGAAUUAGAUACGAAUCUAUGCUCUUAAAGUCCUUGGUUAAUAGGCAAUGGUAAUGAUAGGUUAAUGUGAAAAGCAUUGGAGAAAUGUAAAUAAGAGAAAGUAUAAGUGGGACAUGUAAUGCCUCGUGAUUUGCAGGUUUUACGGGAUUCCUUUCAAUUGUUAGGUUGGUUAUUUUGACAGUUUAAUCAGAAAAAAGCAUGCUAGUCUUGGGACAACGUGAUCAAACGAUACGGUUGGUUAGAGAAAGAAGAGAAAAUGAGUACAAUAAAAAGAAUAAAAUAACAAUAAGGUCACUUGUUACUAGAAAACAGUAAAAUAAAAUAUAAUAAUUUUUUUAAAAAUAUAAUAAUUUUUAAUAGAUUAAUAACAUUAGACCAUCAUGAUAUUCAAUUAAUCAAGAUAUAGAUAUACUGAUUGGACCGACACUUAAUUCCUCAUACUAAAAACA
Long non-coding RNA from Brassica rapa (field mustard), 1215 nucleotides. RefSeq lists it as uncharacterized. Lineage: Eukaryota; Viridiplantae; Streptophyta; Magnoliopsida; Brassicales; Brassicaceae. The record is from RefSeq and is a predicted model, not a curated record.